AUCAACUUUCGAUGGUAGGAUAGAGGCCUACCAUGGUGGUAACGGGUAACGGGGUGUUAGGGCACGACACCGGAGAGGGAGCCUGAGAAACGGCUACCACAUCCAAGGAUGGCAGCAGGCGCGCAAAUUACCCAAUCCCGACACGGGGAGGUAGUGACAAUAAAUAACAAUACGGGGUUCUUUCGGAUUUCGUAAUUGGAAUGAGUACAAUUUAAAUCUCUUAACGAGGAACAAUUGGAGGGCAAGUCUGGUGCCAGCAGCCGCGGUAAUUCCAGCUCCAAUAGCGUAUAUUAAAGUUGCUGCAGUUAAAAAGCUCGUAGUUGAAUUUCGGGACCAUCAUGUCGGUCGUGCCUCGGUACGUACUGGCAUUGUUGGUUUCUCCCUUCUGACGAACCAUGAUGUCAUUUAUUUGGUGUUGUGGGGAAUCAGGACUGUUACUUUGAAAAAAUUAGAGUGUUUAAAGCAGGCUCACGCUUGAAUACAUUAGCAUGGAAUAAUGAAAUAGGACGUUUGAUUCUAUUUUGUUGGUUUCUAGGAUCGACGUAAUGAUUAAUAGGGAUAGUUGGGGGCAUUAGUAUUCAAUUGUCAGAGGUGAAAUUCUUGGAUUUAUUGAAGACUAACUACUGCGAAAGCAUUUGCCAAGGAUGUUUUCAUUAAUCAAGAACGAAAGUUAGGGGAUCGAAGACGAUCAGAUACCGUCGUAGUCUUAACCAUAAACUAUGCCGACUAGGGAUCGGAUGAUGUUAAUUUUUUAAUGACUCAUUCGGCGCCUUACGGGAAACCAAAGUGUUUGGGUUC
Molecule: ribosomal RNA, 798 nt
Filed under: uncultured Glomus
Lineage: Eukaryota; Fungi; Glomeromycota; Glomeromycetes; Glomerales; Glomeraceae
Description: SSU rRNA
Rfam family: Eukaryotic small subunit ribosomal RNA
Source: RNAcentral